Molecule: long non-coding RNA, 4456 nt
Filed under: Brassica napus (rape)
Lineage: Eukaryota; Viridiplantae; Streptophyta; Magnoliopsida; Brassicales; Brassicaceae
Description: long non-coding RNA (BNAP_LNC017038)
Source: RNAcentral
UGAUGACAAGAUUGUUUCAAAGCAUCCAACUUAUCGAGGGGUGAGAAUGCGACAAUGGGGAAAAUGGGUCUCCGAGAUAAGAGAGCCAAAGAAGAAAUCAAGAAUCUGGCUCGGUACCUUCUCCACGGCGGAGAUGGCGGCGCGUGCUCACGACGUAGCGGCUUUAGCCAUCAAAGGCGGCUCUGCUCACCUCAACUUCCCUGAGCUAGUGUACCAACUCCCUAGACCGGCUAGUGCUGACCCUAAAGACAUCCAAGCUGCAGCCGCCGCUGCGGCAGCUGCCGUCGCCGUUGACAUGGAAGUAGAGACGUCUACGUCCUCUCCUGUAAGCUCGGAACCAUCGUCUCCGGCUACGACCACACUAGCAGACGACGCGUUUUCUGACCUCCCCGAUCUCUUGCUCGACGUGAACCACAACAUUGACGGCUUUUGGGACUCGUUUCCUUACGAAGAGCCUUUCUUCUCGGGAACUUACUAGAAAACAAAGACACUGUAUAAGCGAAAGCUGCCGUCGCCGUUGUGUACGUCUUGCGGCAGCUGCCGUUGUGUACGUCUUGUUCUUGUUCUUUUGUCAUGUGAAAACUUUUUAACGUUAAAAAGUCACCGGUUGAUCCAAGUUGUAUAAUUAAUAACGGUCUAUGAUCGAUUUUUUUUCUUUUUCUAGGGGGUUUUUUGCAAAAACAACAUGUUGUCUUCUUUUUUUUGGUCAAACCUUCAUUUUAUAAUAAUCUUAGGAUACCACAUCGUUAACAACCUCUACGACAUUACUUGAGUACUGAAACAGAGAGUCUUUGGCUAGCAUAUCGGCCACACCAUACAAUGUCAGCAAUGGCUCUCUCGGGGACAAAGGCAGACGGAGACGGAGAGAUCAAACUGUGGAGCAGAGGCUGUAGUCUUUUAGACAGGAUCUUCGCUAUUUUUUUGUAAUGGGUGUUACGCAACGCUAUGGGCCUAUAGUCUGAGGUCUUUUUCGCCGCUGUCCCUUUAGGGAUUAGCCUGAGAUGGGUUUCAUUCUGUCUUGGGUGCAUCACGCUAGAGACAAAGAAUUCCCAAAUAUCCCUAUAUACGUCGUCACCAAUUACAUCCCAAAAAGUCUGGUAGAAGCCCGCCGAGAAGCCGUCCGGUCCGAGAGCUUUGUCGGAGUUUAUAGAGAAAACCGCAGCUUUUACUUCAGCCAAGUCUGGGAUUGUGAUCAGUCUUUGGUUCAUCUCCGAAGUGACUUCCGGUGAGAUCGCUUCAGUUACUACGGCUCCAGCAUCUGUAUUACCCGAAGUAAAUAGCUGCUGAUAGAAGAGGGCAAAGGAGUUGACAAUCUGACUUUCUACAUAGAACGCUUGCCCCGCUUCAUUCUCGAUAAUGGAGAACUUAUUGCAAGCUCUCCGGCCUCUCGUAACCGCGUGGAAGUAACUUGAGUUUCUGUCCCCACCAUUCAGCCAUUGAAUGUGGCUCCUCUGCCGCCAAAAGGCUUCUUCCUCCGCAUACGUAGCUUCAAGAUUCUUCUUUAUUUCUUCUAUCAGCUGUGCAUUUUGGGUUUGAUCAGAGAGGGCUUGCUCUAGCCGCUCAUGGUUGGUAUGUAGAAGUUCUUUGGCUGAGGUUGCUUGCUGUUUUGCCCAGUCUACCAACUUUCUUCUAACUUGGUUUAGUUUUAUGAGCACCGAGUCAGUAGACGCUUUCCAAGUAGAUUCCACCAGCUCCCUUAUAUAUGGUUUUUCGCUUAGCCUUCGAUCGUACCUGAAGACCCCUUUCUUUUUCUUCAAUUUCUGGUCGAAGUGAGUGAGAAGAGGGCGGUGAUCCGAACCUUCAAAGCGCAGAUACUCACAUCUAGCUGCCGGAAACAUCUCCAUUCAAUCCAGGUUUGCCAUGGCUCGGUCUAGUCGUGAUUGGAUGAAGUGAGAGUAUCUUGUGCCUCGCCGGGAGAGAGAGUUACCAGACAACAUGUUGUCUUCCAUCUAGAUCCUCCAACAUUGAAAAACCAAUUAAACAAGUAUGCAUUUAAUUUCAUUUCAAAAAAUGUUAGUUGGUUGUUAAUGAAAGUUGUUACGACGACAUCCUAAUUAAAUUACUUUUGAUAGAUUAUGACUUUAAUCUUGAUUAACCCAAAUACGAAAACAAAGUUUGACUUGACUCUUUCGAUAUAUGCAUACACAUGAGAUAUAUAUAUAAGAGUAUCAUAUGUAUAUACCUGUAUGGAAAGCGGAUGAGAUCCUAAAGUUGGCUUUUUGCAACAUCGUGUGCACUUUGUAGCAUAUUUUAUCGUCAAUUGGGUUAUUGUUUAUAACAUCUUUUGUACCUUGUAGAAACGUGUUCUUACGCGGUUGCUUAUACGUGCUGUCUAUAUGACUAAGGUUGUAGUCAGUUUGUUCACUUAAACACAUAUCUUCUUCAAUUAUUUAUCACAAAUUUUCAAACUCACUAAACAUCUUUCGGGAUAUGCUAGACCAACGGCUUCAAAUCUGUUUGACCUGAUGAACGCGUUUUAUCAUGGGUCAAAACCAACAACUUUUGCUGCUUGAUUAAUUUGCCUUUCCGGCUUUCCAACAGAACUGUUGUAGAUAAUUGUGGAUCUCUUGUUAUUUUCAAUGUUUUAUAUUCUCUUUGUUUAUCAAAAAAUGUUAAAUAACAUUUUUUUUCUUGUUAUACAAAAAGUAUCAUUAUAGAUUUACAAUGCAAUUUUCAAUUUAAUAUUAAUUACAAAUGAAUUGAUUUUAUAAAUAAUUUUAUUCAUCUCAAAUUCUAUUGAUUGAAUAUGUAUAAUUAACAAGAAUUUAAAUGCAUUUCAAUCUUUUUUAUGUAUGAAAAAUGUCAAAAUGAUAUUUUUUACGAAACGGAUGAAAUAUUUGUUUUCUGUUGUAAAGCAGUUGUAAUCUUUUAUUGUUUUCAAUCCCUGCUGUGGUUAUUUAUUCCUUAAUAUAGCUAUAGCUAAAACACUGUAAUACCGUAAUUCUUAAGCCAUGUGAUCACAUAUUCACCAUCAAUGUAGAAUAUGACUCUUGACUGUAGAAACUCGACAAAGUCGGAUAAUAUCGUAAUCACACCCCCCAAAUAUGAAUGUAUCUAUUUCUAAAUGGAUACGGGAUACCGUUAACCAUUGUUUAUUUUUGUAACGGAUGGUUUGCAAUUAACAUGUGCUGUGAGUUCAUCAAUUUAAUUCGACUCAUAGUACGAGGCGAAAUGCAUUAUUGGAAGAAGGAAACCUCAUUCUUUUGGUUCUCAAUAAAUGUCAAACGCCGAGCUGUAAGGAGUAAUCAGUUCUUAAAUGGAAUCACCAACAAAUGAUGGCUAAAUUCAUCUUAAAUUAAUUAUCGUGAUAAGAGCAACUCCAAUUAACUUUUAUCAUGAAAAUUCUCAGUGUAUGUAUAUAUGAUAAUUAUGAUUUAAUUAAAAGUAUAAUAAAAUUUUGCAAACCCAACCAGUAAUAUGUCAAGUGAGAUAUUGUUGGUUGGGUUUCUAAAAUUUUUAGUAUACUCUUAAUCAUAUUAUUAUUAUUAAAUAUAUAUACACUAAUUUGUAACUUUUGAUACAAAGAUUUAUCUUAGAUCGUAUCAUACAAGUUUUUCAUUUUAAAUUAAUUCUCAUUUUCAGAAAAAGAGUGUUAUGAAAUAAAUAUUGUUUUAUAUCUUUUCAAUUGAUUUAUUUUUACCUCUAAUUAAAUUAACAUAACUUAUAAAAAUUAUAGAAUUUUAAUAAUCGGAUAAAAGUAUAGUCAUAUCAAAUACGAAUUAUCGGUUCCGGACAUAAGAAAAGAAAAAGCUCAUCCGAAAGGUAGAUUGCUUUUUUUAUAUAGAGUGUUUUUCUUUUCUUUUUUCUUUUUUCCACAGGUAUAGAGGGUACGCAUAAAUAUAGUUACAGACUGAAAAUCCAGAUGUCUGUAUAAAGUGCAUUGAAUACGUAUACACAUAUUUUAGAUAUAGCCUACAAAAGAAAAUCAGCUUCUUAAAUUGGAUGUAUAUAAUAACAACCACACCGACCUCUUCUCAAACAAAACUCUCACACUAAACCAAGAAAACCACAUUUCUUUCCUUCUCUACAUUAACCAUCUCCUUCAUUACAUUUAAUCCCUUCUAUAUUUUUAUAAAAAAUGAAAAAACUCAAACUCAUGGAUCACUCAUCCUGCCGGAGGGGAUAUCAGGAUCCUCCGUCAAAGGCGACGGCGAGAACACUGAAUAAUAACAAUAAUAAUCCGAAGAAGAAAAGAGUCGUCAAAGAAGAUCUUGAUGAUGACAAGAUUGUUUCAAAGCAUCCAACUUAUCGAGGGGUGAGAAUGCGACAAUGGGGAAAAUGGGUCUCCGAGAUAAGAGAGCCAAAGAAAAAAUCAAGAAUCUAGCUCGGUACCUUCUCCACGGCGGAGAUGGCGGCGCGUGCUCACGACGUAGCGGCUUUAGCCAUUAAAGGCGGCUCUGCUCACCUCAACUUCCCUGAGCUAGUGUACCAACUCCCUAGACCGGCUAGUGCUGAC